UGAGGAAUCUUCCACAAUGGGCGAAAGCCUGAUGGAGCAACGCCGCGUGCAGGAUGAAGGCCCUCGGGUCGUAAACUGCUUUUAUAAGUGAAGAAUAUGACGGUAACUUAUGAAUAAGCACCGGCUAACUACGUGCCAGCAGCCGCGGUCAUACGUAGGGUGCAAGCAUUAUCCGGAGUGACUGGGCGUAAAGAGUUGCGUAGGUGGUUUGUUAAGUAGGUAGUGAAAUCUGGCGGCUCAACCGUACAGGCUAUUACCUAAACUGGCAAACUCGAGAAUGGUAGAGGUAACUGGAAUUUCUAGUGUAGGAGUGAAAUCCGUAGAUAUUAGAAGGAACACCAAUGGCGUAGGCAGGUUACUGGACCAUUUCUGACACUGAGGCACGAAAGCGUGGGGAGCGAACGGG
RNAcentral lists this ribosomal RNA (406 nucleotides) under uncultured bacterium. Its description in RNAcentral is "bacterial SSU rRNA". It matches the Rfam family "Bacterial small subunit ribosomal RNA", at positions 355 to 776 of the family's 1533-position model. The record is from RNAcentral.